RNAcentral lists this ribosomal RNA (445 nucleotides) under uncultured bacterium. Its description in RNAcentral is "partial 16S ribosomal RNA". It matches the Rfam family "Bacterial small subunit ribosomal RNA", at positions 338 to 795 of the family's 1533-position model. The record is from RNAcentral.
CCUACGGGCGGCUGCAGUGGGGAAUUUUGGACAAUGGGCGCAAGCCUGAUCCAGCCAUUCCGCGUGAGUGAAGAAGGCCUUCGGGUUGUAAAGCUCUUUCGCAAGGGAAGAAAACUUAUCCUCUAACAUAGGAUGAGGUUGACGGUACCUUGAUAAGAAGCACCGGCUAACUACGUGCCAGCAGCCGCGGUAAUACGUAGGGUGCGAGCGUUAAUCGGAAGUAGGGGGCUUUGUGCGUCAGCAGGGAGUUCCCCGAGCUCAACUUGGGAACUGCGUUUGAAACUACAAGACUAGAAUAGGUCAGAGGGGGGUAGAAUUCCACGUGUAGCAGUGAAAUGCGUAGAGAUGUGGAGGAAUAUCAAUGGCGAAGGCAGCCCCCUGGGAUCAUAUUGACGCUCAUGCACGAAAGCGUGGGGAGCAAACAGGAUUAGAUACCCUUGUAGUC